This 103-nucleotide small nucleolar RNA is filed under the name Scedosporium apiospermum. Its description in RNAcentral is "A. fumigatus snoRNA Afu_514". It matches the Rfam family "A. fumigatus snoRNA Afu_514". Lineage: Eukaryota; Fungi; Ascomycota; Sordariomycetes; Microascales; Microascaceae. The record is from Rfam by way of RNAcentral.
CUUCCUGAUGAGGUAAUUUGCGAUUGAUUUUGCUUGGUGGCGCUCUCGCCGGAGCUGCUAUACCCUGCGAAUAUCUGAUAUUAUGUUCUUACAUAUUCUGAUU